Molecule: ribosomal RNA, 243 nt
Filed under: uncultured bacterium
Lineage: Bacteria
Description: partial 16S ribosomal RNA
Rfam family: Bacterial small subunit ribosomal RNA
Source: RNAcentral
UAACGCGUGAGGAACCUGCCUUUCAGAGGGGGACAACAGUUGGAAACGACUGCUAAUACCGCAUAACACAUAGGUGUCGCAUGGCAUUUAUGUCAAAGAUUUAUCGCUGAAAGAUGGCCUCGCGUCUGAUUAGCUAGUUGGUGAGGUAACGGCUCACCAAGGCGACGAUCAGUAGCCGGACUGAGAGGUUGGCCGGCCACAUUGGGACUGAGAUACGGCCCAGACUCCUACGGGAGGCAGCAG